GAAAGACUAGUUAAUAUAUAACCUAGGUUUGUCAAACCUAAAUAACUCUUUAAGAGUGUCUCUCU
RNAcentral lists this transfer RNA (65 nucleotides) under Glycera dibranchiata. Its description in RNAcentral is "tRNA-Asp". Lineage: Eukaryota; Metazoa; Annelida; Polychaeta; Phyllodocida; Glyceridae. The record is from RNAcentral.